This 301-nucleotide ribosomal RNA is filed under the name uncultured Lactobacillales bacterium. RNAcentral describes it as "bacterial SSU rRNA". It matches the Rfam family "Bacterial small subunit ribosomal RNA", at positions 245 to 525 of the family's 1533-position model. The record is from RNAcentral. Lineage: Bacteria; Bacillati; Bacillota; Bacilli; Lactobacillales.
CUAGUUGGUAGGGGUAACGGGACCGUACCAAGGCGAUGAUGCAUAGCCCGAGUUGAGAGACUGAUCGGGCCACAUUGGGACUGAGACACGGGCCCAAACUCCUACGGGAGGCAGCAGUAGGGGAAUCUUCCACAAUGGACGCAAAGUCUGAUGGAGCAAAACGCCGCGUGAGUGAAGAAGGGUUUCGGCUCGUAAAAGCUUUGUUGUUGGUGAAGAAGGACAGGGGUAGUAACUGACCCUUGUUUGACGGUAAUCAAUUAGAAAGUCACGGGCUAACUACGUGCCAGCAGCCGCGGUAAAU